This 240-nucleotide unclassified non-coding RNA is filed under the name Hevea brasiliensis (rubber tree). Lineage: Eukaryota; Viridiplantae; Streptophyta; Magnoliopsida; Malpighiales; Euphorbiaceae. The record is from RNAcentral.
AUAAAAUGUUGCUUAAUGCUUUAAGGAUUUUCAAUGAUCUUAAGAAUAGAGGUUAUUCCCCAGAUAGGGUCAUGUAUACAACAAUGAUUCACGGCCUUUGUGAGAUGGGAUGGAUUCGGCUUUGGUUUGAGAUGAUCAAUAAGGGCAUUCUUCCGAAUGAAUACACUUAUAAUUCACUGAUUCAUGGGACUUUUAAGAAUGGAGAAUUUAGAAAGGCUAGGAAACUGUAUGAUGAUAUGC